GACGAACGCUGGCGGCGUGCCUAAUACAUGCAAGUUGAGCGCUGAAGGUUGGUACUUGUACCGACUGGAUGAGCAGCGCACGGGUGAGUAACGCGUGGGGAAUCUGCCUUUGAGCGGGGGACAACAUUUGGAAACGAAUGCUAAUACCGCAUAAAAACUUUAAACACAAGUUUUAAGUUUGAAAGAUGCAAUUGCAUCACUCAAAGAUGAUCCCGCGUUGUAUUAGCUAGUUGGUGAGGUAAAGGCUCACCAAGGCGAUGAUACAUAGCCGACCUGAGAGGGUGAUCGGCCACAUUGGGACUGAGACACGGCCCAAACUCCUACGGGAGGCAGCAGUAGGGAAUCUUCGGCAAUGGACGAAAGUCUGACCGAGCAACGCCGAGUGGGUGAAGAAGGUUGUCGGAUCGUAAAACUCUGUUGGUAGAGAAGAACGUGGGUGAGAGUGGAAAGCUCAUCAAGUGACGGUAACUACUCAGAAAGGAACGGCUAACUACGUG
RNAcentral lists this ribosomal RNA (497 nucleotides) under uncultured bacterium. RNAcentral describes it as "partial 16S ribosomal RNA". It matches the Rfam family "Bacterial small subunit ribosomal RNA", at positions 28 to 507 of the family's 1533-position model. The record is from RNAcentral.